AGAGAAGCAAGCAUAUGCUAACAGCAUUUGUAUACCACUCUCACAUACAUUACCUCUGUUUUUUCUGGGCAGCUUCCUCAGACUAUUUAGAGUGGGACUAUUGUCCCACUCUAAAAUGGAGUCUAUGGAUGCUGAUGAGUAAGUAAGCUUCUCUCAGGGAAGGCAGUCUUGGGCUAUGUUACAUUAACUCUUCAGAGUCCUAGUUCCUCUACUCCAAAUCUGAGGAGAAUAUGAACGAAGAAGGUAGAAUGGAUUGUACCAGGACUAUCUGAGAUGAUCAAGUGAGUAAAAAUUAAAGUAGAUGAGGAUAUAGUGAACAGAUAUAUUCAAAAUUGAAUGUAGUAGCAUCUUGUGGUAUAAUAAACAAUUGAAUACAACAGAUGUAGUGGCACCUACCUGUAGCCCCAGCUACUUGGGAGGUUGAGGGAAAAGGAACAGUUGAGCCUAGGAGUUCAAAACCAGUCUGGGAAACAUACUGAGAUAACGAUAACAUCUCAAAAAAAAUAAAAAUAAAAACUGCAGCCAGGCGUGAUGGCCCACACCUGUAAUCCCAGUGACUCAGGAAGCUGAGACUGUCUGAAAAUAAGAAAUAAAAAGAACCUGGGGUAUAUCCC
RNAcentral lists this long non-coding RNA (614 nucleotides) under Marmota monax (woodchuck). The record is from RNAcentral. Lineage: Eukaryota; Metazoa; Chordata; Mammalia; Rodentia; Sciuridae.